CCUACGGGCGGCAGCAGUAGGGAAUCUUCCACAAUGGGCGCAAGCCUGAUGGAGCAACACCGCGUGAGUGAAGAAGGGUUUCGGCUCGUAAAGCUCUGUUGUUGGAGAAGAACGUGCGUGAGAGUAACUGUUCACGCAGUGACGGUAUCCAACCAGCAAGUCACGGCUAACUACGUGCCAGCAGCCGCGGUAAUACGUAGGUGGCAAGCGUUAUCCGGAUUUAUUGGGCGUAAAGCAAGCGCAGGCGGUUGCUUAGGUCUGAUGUGAAAGCCUUCGGCUUAACCGAAGAAGGGCAUCGGAAACCGGGCAACUUGAGUGCAGUAGAGGACAGUGGAACUCCAUGUGUAGCGGUGGAAUGCGUAGAUAUAUGGAAGAACACCAGUGGCGAAGGCGGCUGUCUGGUCUGCAACUGACGCUGAGGCUCGAAAGCAUGGGUAGCGAACAGGAUUAGAUACCCGAGUAGUC
This 465-nucleotide ribosomal RNA is filed under the name uncultured bacterium. RNAcentral's name for it is "partial 16S ribosomal RNA". It matches the Rfam family "Bacterial small subunit ribosomal RNA", at positions 338 to 795 of the family's 1533-position model. The record is from RNAcentral.